AACGAACGCUGGCGGCAGGCUUAACACAUGCAAGUCGAACGACCUGGCUGCUUCGGUCCGCUAUGCUAGUGGCGCACGGGUGAGUAACACCCGGGAAAAUUCCCCUUAGUACGGAAUAACCCAGCGCCACCUUGCCUACUGCCUUAUACGCCCUUCCGGCGAACGAUUUAUCCCUCGAGGAUUAGCCCCGGUCGGAUUAGGUAGCUGGCGAGGUAAUGGCUCACCAAGUCGACGAUCAGUAGCUGGUCUGGGAGGAUGAUCAGGCACACCGGGACUGAGACACGGCCCAGACUCCUGCGGGAAGCAGCAGGGUGGACUAUUGGACAAUGGAGGCAAGCCGGAUCCAGCCAUGCCGCGUGAGUGAAGAAGGCCUUCGGGUUGUAAGGCUCUUUUGACGGGGACGAUGAUGACGGUACCCGGACAAGAAGCCCCGGCAAACUUCGUG
This 445-nucleotide ribosomal RNA is filed under the name uncultured bacterium. Its description in RNAcentral is "partial 16S ribosomal RNA". It matches the Rfam family "Bacterial small subunit ribosomal RNA", at positions 29 to 507 of the family's 1533-position model. The record is from RNAcentral.